CUCUUCGGGGAUGAUUAAACCGGCGCACGGGUGAGUAACACGUGAGUGACCUGCCUUUUAGACUGGAACAACUUACCGAAAGGUGAGCUAAUGCCGGAUGAGUUAUAUAAGUGCAUGUUUAUAUAGGAAAAGUUGGGGAGACCUGACGCUGAAAGAUGGACUCGCGUCCCAUUAGCUAGUUGGUAGGGUAAUGGCCUACCAAGGCGACGAUGGGUAGCCGGCCUGAGAGGGUGGCCGGCCACACUGGGACUGAGACACGGCCCAGACUCCUACGGGAGGCAGCAGUGGGGAAUUUUGCGCAAUGCUCGUAAGAGUGACGCAGCGACGCCGCGUGAAUGACGAAGGCCUUCGGGUCGUAAAGUUCUUUCGACAGGGAAGAAAAUGCCUAUAAGUAACUGUGUAUGUAUUGACGGUACCUGUAUAAGCAGCCCCGGCUAACUCCGUGCCAGCAGCCGCGGUAAUACGGAGGGGGCGAGCGUUGUUCGGAGUGACUGGGCGUAAGGAGCACGUAGGCGGUGUUGUAAGUCAUUAGUCAAAGACUAGAGCUCAACUUAAGUAAGGCUAGUGAUACUAUAAUACUAGAGUAUCAGAGAGGAUUGCAGAAUUCCUGGUGUAGCGGUGAAAUGCGUAGAUAUCAGGAGGAAUACCGUUAGCGAAGGCGGCAAUCUGGCUGGAAACUGACGCUGAGGUGCGAAAGCGUGGGUAGCAAACAGGAUUAGAUACCCUGGUAGUCCACGCUGUAAACGAUGGAUGCUAGGUGUUGGGCUUU
Molecule: ribosomal RNA, 769 nt
Filed under: uncultured bacterium
Lineage: Bacteria
Description: bacterial SSU rRNA
Rfam family: Bacterial small subunit ribosomal RNA
Source: RNAcentral